This 801-nucleotide ribosomal RNA is filed under the name uncultured bacterium. Its description in RNAcentral is "bacterial SSU rRNA". It matches the Rfam family "Bacterial small subunit ribosomal RNA", at positions 202 to 998 of the family's 1533-position model. The record is from RNAcentral.
UUCGGCCUCUGGCCGAGGAUGGGUCCGCGGCGGAUUAGCUAGUUGGCGGGGUAACGGCCCACCAAGGCGACGAUCCGUAGCUGGUCUGAGAGGACGAACAGCCACACUGGGACUGAGGCACGGCCCAGACUCCUACGGGAGGCAGCAGUGGGGAAUAUUGCGCUAAUGCGGGAAACCGUGACGCAGCGACGCCGCGUGAGGGAAGAAGGCCUUCGGGUUGUAAACCUCUUUCAGGAGGGAAGAAGCUACUCGGGUGAAUAGCCCAGAGGGUGACGGUACCUCCAGAAGAAGCCCCGGCUAACUACGUGCCAGCAGCCGCGGUAAUACGUAGGGGGCAAGCGUUGUCCGGAUUCAUUGGGCGUAAAGAGCGUGUAGGCGGUCAGGUAGGUCGGUUGUGAAAACUGGAGGCUCAACCUUCAGACGUCGACCGAAACCCCCUGGCUAGAGUCCGGGAGAGGAGAGUGGAAUUCCUGGUGUAGCGGUGGAAGGCGCAGAUAUCAGGAAGAACACCCGUGGCGAAAGCGGCUCUCUGGAACGGUACUGACGCUGAGACGCGAAAGCGUGGGGAGCGAACAGGAUUAGAUACCCUGGUAGUCCACGCCGUAAACGAUGGGCGCUAGGUGUGGGAGGUGUCGACUCCUUCCGUGCCGAAGCUAACGCAUUAAGCGCCCCGCCUGGGGAGUACGGCCGCAGGGCUAAAACUCAAAGGAAUUGACGGGGACCCGCACAAGCAGCGGAGCAUGUGGUUUAAUUGGAUGCGACGCCAAGAACCUUACCAAGGCUCGACAUGAUCGGGAAAGC